RNAcentral lists this small RNA (61 nucleotides) under Candidatus Protochlamydia amoebophila. Its description in RNAcentral is "ctRNA". The record is from RNAcentral. Lineage: Bacteria; Pseudomonadati; Chlamydiota; Chlamydiia; Parachlamydiales; Parachlamydiaceae.
CUUAAGGCCACUCUGUUCUGAGUGGUCUUUCAAAUGUAUUCAAAGAAAAUUUAUUUUUCCA